AGUGAACGCUGGCGGUAGGCCUAACACAUGCAAGUCGAACGGCAGCACAGUAAGAGCUUGCUCUUACGGGUGGCGAGUGGCGGACGGGUGAGGAAUACAUCGGACUCUACUUUUUCGUGGGGGAUAACGUAGGGAAACUUACGCUAAUACCGCAUACGACCUACGGGUGAAAGCAGGGGAUCUUCGGACCUUGCGCGAUUGAAUGAGCCGAUGUCGGAUUAGCUAGUUGGCGGGGUAAAGGCCCACCAAGGCGACGAGCCGUAGCUGGUCUGAGAGGAUGAUCAGCCACACUGGAACGUGGACACGGUCCAGACUCCUACGGGAGGCAGCAGUGGGGAAUAUUGGACAAUGGGCGCAAGCCUGAUCCAGCCAUACCGCGUGGGUGAAGAAGGCCUUCGGGUUGUAAAGCCCUUUUGUGGGGAAAGAAAAGCAGCAGGUUAAUACCCCGCCGUUCUGACGGUACCCAAAGAAUAAGCACCGGCUAACUUCGUG
This 492-nucleotide ribosomal RNA is filed under the name uncultured bacterium. Its description in RNAcentral is "partial 16S ribosomal RNA". It matches the Rfam family "Bacterial small subunit ribosomal RNA", at positions 29 to 507 of the family's 1533-position model. The record is from RNAcentral.